Molecule: ribosomal RNA, 490 nt
Filed under: uncultured bacterium
Lineage: Bacteria
Description: partial 16S ribosomal RNA
Rfam family: Bacterial small subunit ribosomal RNA
Source: RNAcentral
AGUGAACGCUGGCGGCAGGCUUAACACAUGCAAGUCGAGCGGUAGCACAAGAGAGCUUGCUCUCUGGGUGACGAGCGGCGGACGGGUGAGUGAUGUCUGGGAAACUGCCUGAUUGAGGGGGAUAACUACUGGAAACGGUAGCUAAUACCGCAUAACGUCGCAAGACCAAAGAGGGGGACCUUCGGGCCUCUUGCCCUCAGAUGUGCCCAGAUGGGAUUAGCUCGUGGGUGGGGUAAUGGCUCACCUAGGCGACGGUCCCUAGCUGGUCUGUGAGGAUGAUCAGCCCCACUGGAACUGAGACACGGUCCAGACUCCUACGGGAGGCAGCAGUGGGGAAUAUUGGACAAUGGGCGCAAGCCUGAUCCAGCCAUACCGCGUGGGUGAAGAAGGCCUUCGGGUUGUAAAGCCCUUUUGUUGGGAAAGAAAAGCAGCAGGUUAAUACCCCGCUGUUCUGACGGUACCCAAAGAAUAAGCACCGGCUAACUUCGUG